CGAGAGGCUUCGGCAAUGGGGGAAACCCUGACCGAGCGACGCCGCGUGGGCGAUGAAGGCCUUCGGGUUGUAAAGCCCUUUCAGGUGGGAAGAAAGGCGGCGGGUGAAUAAUCCGUUCGCUGUGACGGUACCACCAGAAGAAGCUCCGGCUAACUCCGUGCCAGCAGCCGCGGUAAUACGGGGGGAGCAAGCGUUGUUCGGAUUCAUUGGGCGUAAAGGGCGCGUAGGCGGCCCGGUUAGUCCGUCAUGAAAUGUACCGGUUCAACCGGGGCACUGUGUCGGAAACUGCUGGGCUAGAGGUCGAGGGAGGAAAGUGGAAUUCCUGGUGUAGCGGUGAAAUGCGUAGAUAUCAGGAGGAACACCCGUGGCGAAGGCGGCUUUCUAUCUCGAAUCUGACGCUGAGGCGCGAAAGCUAGGGGAGCAA
RNAcentral lists this ribosomal RNA (424 nucleotides) under uncultured bacterium. RNAcentral describes it as "bacterial SSU rRNA". It matches the Rfam family "Bacterial small subunit ribosomal RNA", at positions 356 to 771 of the family's 1533-position model. The record is from RNAcentral.